Long non-coding RNA from Empidonax traillii (willow flycatcher), 2431 nucleotides. RefSeq lists it as uncharacterized. The transcript is spliced from 3 exons. The record is from RefSeq and is a predicted model, not a curated record. NCBI's taxonomy places the organism in Eukaryota, Metazoa, Chordata, Aves, Passeriformes, Tyrannidae.
AAAAAAAAAAAAAAAAAAAAAAAAAAAAAAAAAAAAAAGAAAAAAAAGCUAAACCAAGACAACUGAACAUUAAGGGGAUAUGAAUAUGUGGAAGAAAAUAAAAGGAGAAUUUUCAUUCUGUAUAAAUUGACAGAUAUAUGACAGUAUAAACUAACUGAUUUAAGAUAAAACCUCUGGAAAAAUAUACCAGCAACAGAUUCCAGAUGUCUCUCCCCAUGAGUUGUCUUACCAGAUGGUGGAUGAGAUCUUUGUUUCUUAAUUUGUCUUUAUCUUCAGUGGUAACACAGCAUUCAGACAAGGGAAAAAAGGGUAUUUGUGAAGAGCUUGCUUGUUGGGACAAUAUGCUUAUUCUGUUCUAUGAUCAGAUAAGCUCUUAUUUAUUAUAAAUAGAAUGUAUUUGAAUUACUGUUAUAUGUUGAUCUCAUUGUGUCACUUCAGGUUUUGAAAUACUAGUAAGAAUUUCCUAUGCAUUAUGCAGCAUUAUUUGAAUUAUUCACAUGUGGCAAGUGGAGUUCUGCACUUUAAAAUGUUGCCUUUGCCUGAUGUUUAUAUUUAUUCUGUAUUUUUUGUGCAAUCCUAUGGCUUUGUAGGGGAAAAAAUGUGUAUUUGUUCACUGUACUGAAAGUUUUAGUAAGUGGACUUACUGUUGGAAAAAGGAACUUUAAAAUGACCCUGUUAAAAGUCUGUGCCUGAUUAUUCACUCAUGAAUGGAAAAAUUAUAAUGAUUUUAUGAACUUGAACAGAGACUUUUUAAUUAAAAAUAUUUACAGAUAAAUAUAAUUUUUUAUAUUUUAAUUGUGAUCAUGCAAUGCAAAUUAGCAAAAAGUAAUAAAAAUUCUUGCUAAAUAUCUAUGGCAUUACUGAGCAAAAGUGAACAUAACUAUUCUGGAUUAUUAAUUUAAAAAGAAAACAUAAGUCUUGAAAAACAAAACCCCAAAUUCUUUCAAAGAAUAUUCCAGUUCUAAAAGAAAAAAGUUCAGACAAGCUGUUAAAAAUAUUAUUUUAAGCAUUUCCAGGAACAAUCCAUAACAGAUGAUAAGGUGAGUGGCUUUUAAAAUUCUGGAUUUGUAUGAAUAAAUGGUGUUGGCUUAUCUGAAGCCCUGAGUGUAGAAGGGGUCAAUUCAUUUGGAAAAUUAUAGUGUAGAAAGUAUUAAAAAAAAAAAAAAAAAGCCAGUGGAUUUUGAAAAUUAGAGAAAGGACGGGGUAAAAUUAAUUGCAGAAGAGAUUUGAAAAGAGUGGUAGCAGAAUACAAAAUAUGGCAAAGCAGAAAUGAGAUAGAUUAGAGGAACUCAUAAAAAGAAGAUGUCAGAGAAGUUUUAGGUCAGAAACACUCAUUAAAGAAGACAUCUUCUCAGGCAAUGUUCCGUUAAGUCAUAGACCUCAUUCCUUCAGAGAGUCAUUGAGGUCCAAAAACUGGGCAGAUUUCCAAAGGAGUUACUUACAUGCUUAAUAAUACAAGCCCAAAUAGUUGUACCUGCUCAUAGUGUAAUUAUAUAACACUUUAAAACCUCUCGACCUCUGCUUUAAGAUUUAAAUCAGAAUUACCUGUAAGAGCUCCAGAAGAAAAGUAAUGCAAGGGCACAUUUUGUUUUACCGAUAAUUGUCCAAAGAAACGUUUGGCACUGGCCAGGACAGAGGCAGAAUUAGUCUGGUCUCAGGGAAGAAUUUCUGUUCCUGCAUACCCCAGACACCCUCCCCUGUCAUGUACCUGUGACUGAGUCCAACACAGGCUAAACUUCUGGUAUGACUGAAAUGACUGAGUAUAAGCUGUUUUAAAAAUCAGAUUGUUUCGAAGUUAAGUAUAUUGAAGAGACCACAGGACAUUUUAAGUUGCACAAUCAUGUAUCUAUUACUGAACUUUUAAGUGCUAGGAACUUUGGCUUAAAGCUGUGGGGUUUUUAAGCCUUUGCACUAUACGUGCAAGAACUUGUGCUUCUCUCAACAAAAAACAGCAAAUUACGUUUGCAAGGUUUUCUGUACAAAAAAGAGUAAUGCCAUCAACAAAAACAAUUCAUGGGCAGCCAAAAGGACAUUAGUGACACUAAAAACUGUUGAUUAAAAUCUGUUGUUUAAAGUUAAUAGAACUACUAGUUUUUGUCGAAAGUCUGAGAAAUAUUUUUGGAGGGCAGUCUUCUGGAAACUUAAAUGGAAAUUAUUCUUUCUUAGAAAAUGCCCAGAAUCAGAGUUGUGCUCCAACCAAGGAGGUUCCCUGGGGCUUUUGCAGAGGCAGUCACUUCUAUAGAAGUCAAUACAAUGGUCAUGCUUAGAUUCACACUUCUUUACCCUGUCAUGACUCAGAAGUAUGUAUUAGCUUUAAUUCUGGCUUUGGUUUGUGGUUUCUUGUACACUUGGUUUUGGUUUGGAAAUAGUUACGCUGGAGAAGUGAAGCUGGAAGAAGGAUAAGUUUGAAAGGCAAUCUUACUUACACAGA